GAUGAUUGAUUUGGAAUGAAAGAUUGUCUUGAUUGUUUGGGUGUUCAACCUAAUUCUUGUUAUGGCUAGAAUUAGGUCAAAUGUUUGAAAUCCUUUGCUUGGGAUAGGCUUAGGAAUUCAGUAGGUUGGCAAUCGAGGAUAGAAUUAGGUUAUUGGUGGGGUAAACCGAUAACCUAAUCCUACCUUUUGUGUUUUCCCCGGUUUUAAGUGAAAACCAUGUUGUAAUUGGCGGGCGCUCUGGUUUGCACCCAAUGGACCAAGUUGGGUGUAAUUAUCAGUAGCUUAGGCGUUGAUGGACCAAGUUAACGCUAUUUCUAAUUACUCAUGGGUUCUUUUGAUUCCGGGAAAGCACCCUUUCACUUUGUAGAACUCCUUGGAGUUCAUUACUAG
RNAcentral lists this long non-coding RNA (390 nucleotides) under Linum usitatissimum (flax). RNAcentral's name for it is "long non-coding RNA (LUSI_LNC006930)". The record is from RNAcentral. Lineage: Eukaryota; Viridiplantae; Streptophyta; Magnoliopsida; Malpighiales; Linaceae.